Long non-coding RNA from Oncorhynchus keta (chum salmon), 477 nucleotides. RefSeq lists it as uncharacterized. The transcript is spliced from 3 exons. Lineage: Eukaryota; Metazoa; Chordata; Actinopteri; Salmoniformes; Salmonidae. The record is from RefSeq and is a predicted model, not a curated record.
CAGGUAGUGUAUUUCAGAAGAGAGGUAUACAGGUAGUGUAUUUCAGAAGAGAGGUAUACAGGUAGUGUAUUUCAGAAGAGAGGUAUACAGGUAGUGUAUUUCAGAAGAGAGGUAUACAGGUAGUGUAUUUCAGAAGAGAGGUAUACAGGUAGUGUAUUUCAGAAGAGAGGUAUACAGGUAGUGUAUUUCAGAAGAGAGGUAUACAGGUAGUGUAUUUCAGAAGAGAGGUAUACAGGUAGUGUAUUUCAGAAGAGAGGUAUACAGGUAGUGUAUUUCAGAAGAGAGGUAUACAGGUAGUGUAUUUCAGAAGAGAGGUAUACAGGUAGUGUAUUUCAGAAGAGAGGUAUACAGGUAGUGUAUUUCAGAAGAGAGGUAUACAGGUAGUGUAUUUCAGAAGAGAGGUAUACAGGUAGUGUAUUUCAGAAGAGAGGUAUACAGGUAGUGUAUUUCAGAAGAGAGGUAUACAGGUAGUGUAUU